This 353-nucleotide unclassified non-coding RNA is filed under the name soil metagenome. Its description in RNAcentral is "partial contains 5.8S ribosomal RNA, internal transcribed spacer 2, and large subunit ribosomal RNA". The stretch from base 1 to 121 matches the Rfam family "5.8S ribosomal RNA", at positions 35 to 154 of the family's 154-position model. The record is from RNAcentral.
GAUGAAGAACGUAGCGAAAUGCGAUAAGUAAUGCGAAUUGCAGAAUUCCAGUGAGUCAUCGAAUCUUUGAACGCACAUUGCGCCCAUUGGUAUUCCGAUGGGCAUGCCUGUUCGAGCGUCAUUACAACCCUCAGGCCCCCGGGCCUGGCGUUGGGGAUCGGCGGAGCCCCCCGUGGGCACACGCCGUCCCCCAAAUACAGUGGCGGUCCCGCCGCAGCUUCCAUCGCGUAGUAGCUAACACCUCGCGACUGGAGAGCGGCGCGGCCACGCCGUAAAACACCCAACUCUUCUGAAGUUGACCUCGAAUCAGGUAGGAAUACCCGCUGAACUUAAGCAUAUCAAUAAGCGGAGGA